RNAcentral lists this ribosomal RNA (460 nucleotides) under uncultured bacterium. RNAcentral describes it as "partial 16S ribosomal RNA". It matches the Rfam family "Bacterial small subunit ribosomal RNA", at positions 338 to 795 of the family's 1533-position model. The record is from RNAcentral.
CCUACGGGAGGCAGCAGUGAGGAAUAUUGGUCAAUGGGCGGGAGCCUGAACCAGCCAAGUCGCGUGAGGGAAGACGGUCCUAUGGAUUGUAAACCUCUUUAGGCGGGGAGCAAUGCCGGGCACGCGUGCCCGGAGGGAGAGUACCCGCAGAAUAAGCAUCGGCUAACUCCGUGCCAGCAGCCGCGGUAAUACGGAGGAUGCGAGCGUUAUCCGGAUUUAUUGGGUUGAAAGGGUGCGUAGGCGGUCCGGAAAGUCAGCGGUAAAAGCCCGGGGCUCAACCUCGGCGAGCCGGUGAAACUGUCGGACUAGAGACGGCGAGAAGUACGCGGAAUGCGCGGUGUAUAGGUGAAAUGCAGAGAGAGCGCGCAGAAUGCUGAUUGCGAAGGCAGCGUACCGGCGCCGGACUGACGCGGAGGCACGAAAGCGUGGGUAUCGAACAGGAUUAGAUACCCCAGUAGUC